UACGUAGGGUGCGAGCGUUGUCCGGAAUUACUGGGCGUAAAGCGCGUGUAGGCGGUUGUUCAAGUCAGGUGUGAAAGCCUUGAGCUCAACUCAAGAAAUGCACUUGAUACUGGAUGACUAGAGGACCGGAGAGGAUAGUGGAAUUCCCAGUGUAGUGGUGAAAUACGUAGAGAUUGGGAAGAACACCAGUGGCGAAGGCGGCUAUCUGGACGGUUUCUGACGCUUAAGACGCGAAAGCGUUGGGGAG
RNAcentral lists this ribosomal RNA (247 nucleotides) under uncultured bacterium. RNAcentral's name for it is "partial 16S ribosomal RNA". It matches the Rfam family "Bacterial small subunit ribosomal RNA", at positions 524 to 768 of the family's 1533-position model. The record is from RNAcentral.